RNAcentral lists this ribosomal RNA (123 nucleotides) under bovine gut metagenome. The record is from RNAcentral.
GUGACAAUAGCGAAGGGGUUCCACCUGUUCCCAUCACCUGUUCCCAUCCCGAACACAGAAGUUAAGCCCUUCAGCGUCGAUGGUACUUGGCUGGAGACGGCCCGGGAGAGUAGAUCGUCGCCG